RNAcentral lists this ribosomal RNA (401 nucleotides) under uncultured bacterium. RNAcentral describes it as "bacterial SSU rRNA". It matches the Rfam family "Bacterial small subunit ribosomal RNA", at positions 975 to 1375 of the family's 1533-position model. The record is from RNAcentral.
CAGGUCUUGACAUCCCUCUGAUCGGAGCGUAAUGGUUCCUUUCCUUCGGGACAGAGGAGACAGGUGGUGCAUGGUUGUCGUCAGCUCGUGUCGUGAGAUGUUGGGUUAAGUCCCGCAACGAGCGCAACCCUUACCUUCAGUAGCCAGCGAGCGAAGUCGGGCACUCUGGAGGGACUGCCAGGGACAACCUGGAGGAAGGUGGGGAUGACGUCAAAUCAUCAUGCCCCUUAUGAUCUGGGCUACACACGUGCUACAAUGGCGUAAACAAAGGGAAGCGAUCAUGCGAAUGUAAGCAAAUCUCAGAAAUAACGUCUCAGUUCGGAUUGCAGUCUGCAACUCGACUGCAUGAAGCUGGAAUCGCUAGUAAUCGCGAAUCAGAAUGUCGCGGUGAAUACGUUCCC